AGAGUUUGAUCCUGGCUCAGGACGAACGCUGGCGGCGUGCUUAACACAUGCAAGUCGAACGGGAUCUAUCCAGUAGCUUGCUACAGGGUAAAUCUAGUGGCGAACGGGUGAGUAUCACGUGGGUAACCUGCCCCGGAGACCGGGAUAAUAUGGGGAAACCUGUAUUAAUACCGGAUAUCCUGCCUUUCCCACAUGGCAUCGGCAGAAAAGGUUGUUUUUUCAUCUGCUCCGGGAUGGGCCCGCGGCCCAUUAGCUAGUCGGUGGGGUAAUGGCUCACCGAGGCGACGAUGGGUAGCCGGCCUGAGAGGGCGAACGGCCACACUGGGACUGAGAUACGGCCCAGACUCCUACGGGAGGCAGCAGUGGGGAAUAUUGCGCAAUGGGCGAAAGCCUGACGCAGCGACGCCGCGUGGACGAAGAAGGCCUUCGGGUUGUAAAGUCCUGUCAGGGGGGAAGAAGGUGCUCGCACUGACGGUACCCCCAGAGGAAGCCCCGGCCAACUACGUGCCAGCAGCCGCGGUAAAACGUAGGGGGCGAGCGUUGUCCGGAAUCAUUGGGCGUAAAGAGCACGUAGGCGGCAUGUCAAGUCGAAUGUGAAAACCCAUGGCUCAACUAUGGGACUGCAUACGAAACUGGCAGGCUAGAGUCCAGUAGAGGAAAGUGGAAUUCCCAGUGUAGCGGUGAAAUGCGCAGAUAUUGGGAAGAACACCGGUGGCGAAGGCGGCUUUCUGGACUGAGACUGACGCUGAGGUGCGAAAGCUAGGGGAGCAAACAGGAUUAGAUACCCUGGUAGUCCUAGCCGUAAACGAUGGGCACUAGGUGUGGGGAGUGUCAACUCUCCCUGUGCCGAAGUUAACGCAUUAAGUGCCCCGCCUGGGGAGUACGGUCGCAAGGCUAAAACUCAAAGGAAUUGACGGGGGCCCGCACAAGCGGCGGAGCAUGUGGCUCAAUUCGACGCAACGCGAAGAACCUUACCAGGGCUUGACAUGUACCUGAAAGUCGUGGAAACACGUCCCUCCGUAUGGACAGGUACACAGGUGGUGCAUGG
Molecule: ribosomal RNA, 1048 nt
Filed under: uncultured bacterium
Lineage: Bacteria
Description: bacterial SSU rRNA
Rfam family: Bacterial small subunit ribosomal RNA
Source: RNAcentral